Cajanus cajan (pigeon pea) is the source of this 1136-nucleotide non-coding RNA. Lineage: Eukaryota; Viridiplantae; Streptophyta; Magnoliopsida; Fabales; Fabaceae. The record is from RefSeq and is a predicted model, not a curated record.
GAGUGACCGAUGUAACAGUGAGAAACAUCUAUUUGACUGCCCCCGCGCACGCAUGGCCCUUGCCCUCUCUAAGCAUCUGAAACCCUAGAGCGGUGGCGAUUUUAGGCUCCUUUCGUUACAGUGUUAUUAUACUCUCCCUCUCCCUCGCUCCUUUCGUUUCCUUUCCCAGUAACAACACACAACACACGCUCUCUUAUUAGUCACUCCUUAAUUUCCCGAAGGAAACCCUAAUCGGAACCCCAAAUGGUUGUGACGGAGGAAAUCGCCGGCGCCACCACUAUCAUCAACCAGAGCUACAAAUUCUCCGCACCGCGAUUCUUCGAUUUUGUCAAAGGCGAGUCCGACGAGGAUGCCAAUAAGGCCGAACUCUGGUUCGAUACGGCUCUCUCCUACGCUCCUUCGCCAUUCAUGCCUAAAAUCAAGACUGCUAGAUCUAUUACUGUAGAUAGCUUGUGUGAUUUUAGCGAGGAUGAUAAUACAUGCAGAAGAUGUUAGCUAGUGUUUAUAAUAAUACUCAGGAAACCAAUACACAACCAUAGAGCAUAACUACCAAAACAGAGGAAGGCAAUGCAGACAAAAUGCUUAAGUUCUGGAAACCAAUAUAAAACCGCAGUCCGUGGCUACUGUAAAGGAAGAUGAAGCUGACAAAAUGCAGAAGGUGUCAGCAAUUGUUGAUGAUAAAGUUUUGGAAACCAAUAUAAAACCAGUGUGUGGCUACUGUAAAGGACGAUGAUGCACCUUGCCCAGGUAGUGCAUGCUUAAACUGCUUGCUUUUGCUUGGUGGCAGCUGCUGGGUAGUUUGGCUAAAGAAAUUACACGUGUCCUAAUGACUCAACCAACAAACAAUCCGGUGGUAGCCAUCAGUUUGUAACCAUUAAAAACUUUCCACGGAAAGAAAAUAACUUACAAGAAAAGAUAACACUUUAUAUGGAGGUGCAUACUAUGGCUCUCACGUGAUGCAGUACGGUGAUGUAGGGUUCGACAAUGAUAUUCUCUUCCUAUAUAUGGCUACAUCUUAUUUUGUAUUUUUAUUGAAACUUGAGAGGUUGCUAGUAAACCUUUUUUUCCCUUGAAUGUUUGGCCCUGAAUGUUAAAACUAUAAGAAAAUAAAGCUUGUAAUUCGAUGGCGCAUUUUA